AACGUAGGAGACAAACGUUAUCCGGAGUUACUGGGCGUAAAGGGCGUGUAGGCGGUUCGUUAAGUCUGGCGUGAAAGCUCUCGGCUAAACCGGGAGAGGUCGUUGGAUACUGGCAAACUAGAGGACGGUAGAGGCGUGUGGAAUUCCGGGUGUAGUGGUGAAAUGCGUAGAGAUCCGGAGGAACACCAGUGGCGAAGGCGGAUCUCUGGGCCUUACCUGACGCUCAGGUGCGAAAGCUAGGGGAGCGAACAGG
This 253-nucleotide ribosomal RNA is filed under the name uncultured bacterium. Its description in RNAcentral is "partial 16S ribosomal RNA". It matches the Rfam family "Bacterial small subunit ribosomal RNA", at positions 524 to 776 of the family's 1533-position model. The record is from RNAcentral.